GCCGCUGGAGACAUUCUAGCCUCUCUUCUUGUUGGUGGUUCUUUUCCCAGCGUCCCGCGCGCGGCGGCAGCGGCAGUUCCAUUCCGUGACCUUCGCCAACGGCCCGUGUGUCACUGGCUCCAAGAUGUUACAAUAUUUUACUAAGACGUGGCGCAACAUGAGGAUUUACUACACUACGGUUUACCAGGAAAUAUGGGUUGGGUUGGCCGUAACCUCCUAUGCCUAUUACAAACUUUCCUUUGGUCGUAAAAAAGCAGUGGCAAACAAAUCUUCUGUUUCUGGCCAUCAUUAAAUGGCUCUUCAUUGAGUAUGCAUUCCAUGACUUGUCAUCUCUGCUGUAAAUGAAGCAAGCUACCAUCACAGGGAAGUUAAUUGGACCGCAUAAGCAUUGUACAAUUCUACAACUGUAUAUAAUCCACUGUACUACAUAGGAGGAAUAAAUGUGUUGAGCAAGAA
This is a long non-coding RNA of Gopherus flavomarginatus (Mexican gopher tortoise), 456 nucleotides long. RefSeq lists it as uncharacterized. Lineage: Eukaryota; Metazoa; Chordata; Testudines; Testudinidae. The record is from RefSeq and is a predicted model, not a curated record. The transcript has 4 exons.